This 252-nucleotide ribosomal RNA is filed under the name Triticum aestivum (bread wheat). Its description in RNAcentral is "partial small subunit ribosomal RNA". Lineage: Eukaryota; Viridiplantae; Streptophyta; Magnoliopsida; Poales; Poaceae. The record is from RNAcentral.
AUGGAAUAUUACCAAGCACCCUCCACUAUUUCGGAUAGUAUUUAUGGUUCUACCUUUUCCUUAGCAACUUGCUUUCAUAGUUUUCAUGUGAUUAUAGGUACUCUUUUCUUGAUCGUAUCUGGUAUUCGCCAAUAUUUUGGUCAUCUGACCAAGAAGCAUCACGUUUUUGAAGCAGUUGCAUGGUACUGGCAUUUUGUAGACGUGGUUCGGUUAUUCCCAUUUCUCUCUAUCUAUUGGUGGGGAGGUAUAUGA